UACGGAGGGUGCAAGCGUUAUCCGGAAUCACUGGGUUUAAAGGGUGCGUAGGCGGCUAAAUAAGUCAGUGGUGAAAGGCCGUGGCUUAACCAUGGGAUUGCCAUUGAUACUGUAUAGCUUGAAUGAGGAUGAGGUUGGCGGAAUGUGGCAUGUAGCGGUGAAAUGCUUAGAUAUGCCAUGGAACAUCGAUUGCGAAGGCAGCUGACUGGACCUGAAUUGACGCUGAGGCACGAAAGCGUGGGUAGCGAACAGG
RNAcentral lists this ribosomal RNA (253 nucleotides) under uncultured bacterium. Its description in RNAcentral is "partial 16S ribosomal RNA". It matches the Rfam family "Bacterial small subunit ribosomal RNA", at positions 524 to 776 of the family's 1533-position model. RNAcentral also lists the same sequence under 1 other name. The record is from RNAcentral.